Long non-coding RNA from Zeugodacus cucurbitae (melon fly), 2113 nucleotides. RefSeq lists it as uncharacterized. Lineage: Eukaryota; Metazoa; Arthropoda; Insecta; Diptera; Tephritidae. The record is from RefSeq and is a predicted model, not a curated record. The transcript is spliced from 3 exons.
UCUUAUGACCGCACAACUGAUCUUGCCACUUGCGUUUGUCGAACAACAGAUGGCGCUUGUGAAUGGAGAAGGGGAUUUUUCAAAUUUUCCUUUUGUAUAAUUGUGGGGAUAUUUGCAUUUAUUUUGGGAAAUUUUAUUUUUGAAUUUUCACUACACUGGCGCUCUGGCGCGCUCUCACACUUUCUGCACUCGUCAACGCGCACUUAAUUUUAUUUUCAAACGCACCCACACAACAACACUUUUUUGGACACUUUUCGCCGUAUUUUUUUUCGCACACCUAUUUUGUUGAUGCGCCGCUCAGCAAAGUUGAUUAAGAAGAAUUUUGACGGCGGUUUAACGUUUGGACACUUUCACUGAUAAGCGACAGAAUAACUAACUUUUAUAUGCGCUCUUCAUGAUAACAAGAGAAACAGCUGGCAACGCGCUCGAAGCAGCAACACAAACACACACAACCGGACGACGACGGAAACACAUGUCCUUCGUUGGUAUUUUUAAAAUUUACAUAAAUAAACAAACAGAUUUUUGAAAUUUUUUUCUCUCUUUUUUUUCACAUGCCGCUCAGUGACAAUCACUGUCGUUCGCAACAACACAAACACAAUAUUAUAUAUUUUAUAUACAUAUUCAACCAUUAGUUAUCGUUGAUUUGCUGCUUUUCGUGAUCUUGACAUCCAAAACGCACUGGACACCACUCCCGCUUACACAAACGACACGGCAAAUGGUGCAACCAUAACGGUGAUGAUGACGAUCCGUCUUUCCACCCAUCCAGCUAGCCGUCCAUGCACGACGUUCAGCGGUUAUUUUUAUGAAAUUUUAUGAAAUCAUGCAGUAUUAUUGAAAGAGGCAUUGUUUCGAAUACAUUUCUCCACCGAACACUGAGCAGGGAAAAUCGCACAUCGUCGGAAAUCAAGUGAAAAAUUAUAAAUAAACCGUUUUUUCGAAUAAGCUAUUUUAAAAAAAGCUAACACACUCGCGCGCGCUCACGAUCUUCGCAUAGCGUACCGCCGCUAGUCGCGUUCGAACGCUUUGCAAUGCUACGACUGUUUGCCACAGAAAGUUGCCUGACGCCUGUGAUUGCUGGUUGGCGGAAUGACUUCUGGUGCUGACUGCUGCUGCUGGUGCUGUUGCGACCGAUCCUCAUCUGGCUGAUCCUCCUACAGCUGCGGGAGUUGUUGCUAUUAGUGCUGCAAAGUCCGUUUCUGCAUUUGUUGCUGCUGUUGCUGCUUCUUCUUCAUCAUCUUUUGAUGCUUCCUCUUCGUCUUCUAUUUAUUGCCGCUCGAUACUCAUACUUUUUGUUGCCAGCCAGCAGCCGUUUGUUGUGAUCGCUUAGUAGCAGCCAUUUCGUUUUUAAUUUUAGCGGUAACCCCAAAAUAAAUACCAACCAGCAGAUCAUGUCUAAAAUCACCUUUAUAUAGACACUUGUACUAAGUGGCCAAUAUCUUUGAAUACAAAAACAGCGAGUCUAUGCUUUUUUCUGUCUAAUUAUAACGCUUACAGUGCGGAGGAGAAAUGGCUAAUGUAUACAAAAAAUUAUGAACCACAAAGUGGAAAGUUUGUUGUACAAGAAAUACACUAUUCGCUGUAGGCUAUAUAGUGAGGGAACUGCUUUUGAAAGGAAGUGCUUGUAAGUUCAUAAAAGUAACAACUUCAUAAAAGGAGUGGUGCUCCAAGGCUCGAGAAAACGCACAGAGAUUCGAGCUCGAGAGAGACUUUUCAUCAAACAAAACCGCGAUGAUCAAAAGUAACAUAUAGAGGAUUACCUCCUAUACUUGUUUACGAUCCAAUUAUUUCUUGCACGAAAUAAUUAAGGAUGAAGACAGCUCACUAAAGAAAAAAUGUAUAUUUGAAUAUUAAUUUCAUUUAUUCAAUGGGCUUCUUUCUCGAAUUUCUUACAGAACAAAUUUCAGAUGUUCAAAGGUUCUAAGACGAAGAGCCUAUGGACUAAAGGAUCCCACUGAGAUAUUUUGCAGAUACGACACGGGUCAUCAACUGAGUACUGCCGGAUCUGUUCGAAUCUUCAAUUUACUCCGAAGUUCAGAUUAAAAAAAAUCAAAUUGAAUAUCGGACGUCUAGUGUUGGAAUAUAUAAUUUAUGAUCUUUUUGCGUCUGGCACUUG